This 1058-nucleotide long non-coding RNA is filed under the name Physcomitrium patens. Its description in RNAcentral is "long non-coding RNA (PPAT_LNC013092)". Lineage: Eukaryota; Viridiplantae; Streptophyta; Bryopsida; Funariales; Funariaceae. The record is from RNAcentral.
UUUAAUUUUAAUUAAAAAUCAUCCAUGAAUAAAAACUCAUCUAUGAAUAAUUUUUCGUCCUUGAAUGAGAAUUCAUCCACUUUAGUCAAAAUUCAUCCAAUAUUUUCAUCCAAGUUGAUUUGAUGUUCAUUUUUGAUUAAAUUUCAUCCAACAGUUAAUAUUUAUCAUCCGACUCCUAUUGCAAUCAACCCUAAUUGAGUGCUUCACUCUUUAACCUAAAAUUUUUCUCUCGAACUUAAUUCACCUUACAAUAUGCUACUGACCAGGGACGUUGAAGAAGUGUCCCUCUUCAUAGGAUGCUCCUUCCGUUCGACCACGAUCAAUGCUCCAGAUGAGGGCUCUCCCUUGGCUUGAACUUGCACAACACCCAAUUCCACCACUGAAUGGGUCAGGUUCUAAUUGAACUAGGAAGAGGUUGGCCAAUAAUCACCGAUCGCACAUCGUAUUGAGAGUUUGUUGUUACAAAAAAUCAGUAUCUUGCUGCCGCAAGCUCGUGCAAGACAGUUUUCAAUCUUCUUGAUCAGGAUGGGUGAGAGAACUUCCUUGGGCAAGCAUCCUCGUUCCGAUUCUAACUCGCCUACACAUUCGCUUUGAUUGUAAAUUUACGAGAGAAGGGAUUUUUGAACAAGUGCAACCCUUUGAUAAUGGUUCAAUAGAUGCUUCCACUUGUGUGGCAAGGAUUCAAGCCCUCCACGGAACGAAGGCACCGCCGCAAGUUGUAACAGUCAAAACCCGGCAUAGCAAAACAAGGAAAAUCGAAGCCGAGACUCCGUUGACCUGCUCCAGAACCGCCACCUGAAGGAGAAUCAGAUCCCGUUGAAGAAUGUGGACGAUGCGCAGCCUUCUGCCAUCGGAACCAACUAACAAAGGCACUGCCGCACGUCGCAGUACUGUCCAAAAUCACGCAGCAACGGCGCCUCCGCUUGAAUUUGGAGCUCGAAAGCCAGCUGCGCCACCUUGAACUUCCGCUAUACACCGAAUCAAUACCUCCGAGCUCCUUUCGCAACUUGUACCAGCAAGGGAGAAGAAUCGCUUCUCUUGGCAAUGCAAGCUCCACC